AAAUCACCUGAAAGACAUGACUGGUGUUUUUGAAUUUAUGCAAAAUGAAAUCUAAAACUCCUGGGUAUUUACAGCUGUAGAUAGAUUAGGCAUAUUGAAGCUACUUUUUGAAAUUUUAUAUUGGGCCGAAGUUGCUAUGAGCUAUAGAUGCUCAACACUGGCAGCAGUGUAAAAAACAGCUGAUUUGAAAUUGAGUCGGAGUUGCAUGCUGGAACAGACAAAAAGGUGAAUGUUUGCUGUUUACUGCUCUUGGUUCCAUUUUCAACAGGAGAAGAUAUUACUGAAGUUGAUAUAGUCACUUCAACACAGCCUCCUACCUCAAUCACAGAAAAUGAAAAUGUUCCACCAGCCAUAAACUCAGUAGUAAACGACUAUCCCACAAACUAUCAACCAUCAGUACCCAAUUUUGGUUUCGGAAACUCGCCACCAUACAUUUUACAUAAUCUUCUUUCGCAAGUUUUUAGGCCCACAAAAAACACCGGUAAAACAUACGGGCCUAAUGUGAUUGCAAUUAUCGGCGAUAAGCCGUAUAUUUCGAUGGAAAUUUUCCAUAAAUUUGCUCCAUUUAGAUGGCUGAUGCACGCUUUUCAGGGUAAAAUUCAGAACAUUUGUGGUUUUUUGGCACCCCCAAUCGGGGAUGAUGAAUUCUCAUUUUCAAAUCCUCAAAAUAAUCCGCCACUAGUUCUGGGGGACGAACAAACCCCUGUACAUGGAGCGAAACCGGACAUAUCCAGACCAGUGAGGAUCUAUAAUGUACCUAUUGGAUUUCGAAGGAAGAUAUGACAAAAUAUGAAUGGAAAAGGCAAAUAUGUAUACUUUUCAGGUGUUUGAAUAAAACUGUUAGAAAUUU
This is an RNA transcript of Dendroctonus ponderosae (mountain pine beetle), 850 nucleotides long. RefSeq lists it as uncharacterized. The record is from RefSeq and is a predicted model, not a curated record. Lineage: Eukaryota; Metazoa; Arthropoda; Insecta; Coleoptera; Curculionidae. The transcript has 4 exons.